This is a long non-coding RNA of Scatophagus argus, 893 nucleotides long. RefSeq lists it as uncharacterized. Lineage: Eukaryota; Metazoa; Chordata; Actinopteri; Scatophagidae. The record is from RefSeq and is a predicted model, not a curated record. The transcript has 2 exons.
UAUUGAGCAGUACCUCCCUGACAAACUGAACUGGUAUCAGUUCAUUCGGCGUGUGUCACGGGUCCUGAGAGUGGUUUUUCUUUGACAGCCUCCGACACGCUCACUUGCUGUUAGCAGUCUGCAGACUCUUAGAGAAGAGAAAUGAAAUACUGUAGUUCAAAUGAUUUGAGCAAAGUUACAUGUUUUUGCAUUCAUGUGUGUGUGGGUGGGUGGGUGUGUGUGUGAAAGAGCUCUCUGUCCUUGUGCAGUGAUCCUUGGCUAAUACCUGAGAAACAGAUCCAGCUGCCCCUAACAACCACAUCUGGACUUUCACCUGCCUCAGGGCUCAUGGUCACACAGAGAGGUGAUGGCGAGGAGGUGUUGAUAUUCCACAGUGAGCAGUUUACGUUUUUACUUUGAUACAGUAUUUACACCGUUGUGUUGGGAAAUAAAGCAGUCAUGUUUUAAUUUGUUCAAUUAAUUUUCUAGACAGUUUCUUGCAAAGAGAUAUGUGACCUUUGCAUUAUUUAAAGCUAAAAUAAGGACAAAAUUCUUAAGUAUGAUGGAGGGGUGUUUGAGUGACUUUCACGCAAUGUCUGCCAUAUUGGUAUUUGUUUAUGUCCCUUGUUGUUAACCUAACCAGCCCAACAGCAGAGCCAUGUGGGUGCCACAUGCUUCCCAUAAGAGCAGACUUCCUGCCGCAAGAACUGUGACAUCCCAUCAUGCACGAGCCACGCUGCAAAUGUCCGCCAGCCAUUCUGUCCUCUCACUGUUCCCUAUUGUGUUCUCUCUGAACGCCAUUAAAUGAAAAGCUGGUUCAUUUCGUCAUGGCCGACUCAAACCCUGAUCCUCUUUUGUGUGACCUUCCAACAGCGUUUUAAGCCCCAGCUGGACCCACUUUGAAGACCUCAAUA